Molecule: ribosomal RNA, 478 nt
Filed under: uncultured bacterium
Lineage: Bacteria
Description: partial 16S ribosomal RNA
Rfam family: Bacterial small subunit ribosomal RNA
Source: RNAcentral
GAUGAACGCUGGCGGCGUGCUUAACACAUGCAAGUCGAACGGGAAUUAUUUUAUUGACACUUCGGUCGAUUUCAUUUAAUUCUAGUGGCGGACGGGUGAGUAACGCGUGGGUAACCUGCCUUAUACAGGGGGAUAACAGUCAGAAAUGGCUGCUAAUACCGCAUAAGCGCACAGAGCUGCAUGGCUCAGUGUGAAAAACUCCGGUGGUAUAAGAUGGACCCGCGUUGGAUUAGCUGGUUGGUGGGGUAACGGCCCACCAAGGCGACGAUCCAUAGCCGGCCUGAGAGGGUGAACGGCCACAUUGGGACUGAGACACGGCCCAGACUCCUACGGGAGGCAGCAGUGGGGAAUAUUGCACAAUGGGGGAAACCCUGAUGCAGCGACGCCGCGUGAAGGAAGAAGUAUCUCGGUAUGUAAACUUCUAUCAGCAGGGAAGAUAGUGACGGUACCUGACGAAGAAGCCCCGGCUAACUACGUG